RNAcentral lists this transfer RNA (72 nucleotides) under Camelus bactrianus (Bactrian camel). It matches the Rfam family "tRNA". Rfam says of the family: Transfer RNA (tRNA) molecules are approximately 80 nucleotides in length. Their secondary structure includes four short double-helical elements and three loops (D, anti-codon, and T loops). The record is from Rfam by way of RNAcentral. RNAcentral also lists the same sequence under 2 other names. Lineage: Eukaryota; Metazoa; Chordata; Mammalia; Artiodactyla; Camelidae.
GAAGGUAUAGUUCAGUGGUAGAGUGUGUGCUUAGCAUGCAUAAGGUCCUGGGUUCAAUCCCCAGUACCUCCA